This 2303-nucleotide long non-coding RNA is filed under the name Homo sapiens (human). Its description in RNAcentral is "novel transcript". The record is from RNAcentral. Lineage: Eukaryota; Metazoa; Chordata; Mammalia; Primates; Hominidae.
AAAAAAAUGUCCCACGUGUGGCCGAGUGCCACACCCAGGCAGCUGCCGAAAAAAAGCACCAGACACCAUGCAGCUGGGCCCCAGGGCCCGGCCCAACCCGGUUGGCCUUCUCCGGCACCUGCAGGGAACUUGUCCUGUCUUGUCUCUGCUCGCCCCCUGCUGGCUGCCUGGAGCCAUUCCGUGCUGGUUUCUUCGCGUCUUCUGUCAGGAGAGAGAUGCUGAUGCUUACUCAGGGAUCCGGCGGGAUGGGUCUCAUCUGCUGCUUGCACCGAGGCUCCAGCGACAUUUUUACUCAUGGUCAACUGCGUCCCCUGCCAACUGCCCUUCGAAGGACAGGCGCCACAUCCACCUGCCAGGCCUGCAGCAUUAGCACCAGCUCCACUAGGGCCACAGAUGCCCCCUCCUCUGUGUCCAGCCCCUGCAAAUGCACCAAGUGCCUUAGACCAUGGCUCCCCACCUAGGCGGGGACCCUCAGCCCCCUCCCCUCCAUUUCUGAGCCCUCACAGCCAGAGCCUUGGCAGGAGAAGGACCCUCACCAGGCACGGGGGUGCCGGGGACCACAGGAGGGUGAUAUUUGGGCCCUCUGCUCCCUCCCAGCUCCCAAACCUGGGACAAGGCUGAAAACCCGGGUCCCCUGGGAUGCCUGCAUUCUGGGCAGGAUCCCCACCAGUGCUCAGAAGCCCUCGCUUUGCUGUCCCCUCUGGGAAAUGCAUGGGGUGGGACAGGUAGGAGUGGCUCUUCCCCUAGAUGACCUAGCUAGCCCUUCAACCUGCCUACUCCCCACACUGCCUCACCUGGAAAGCCGUGUCCUGCUGGCCUCACUCCUUCCUGCAGGGCCUGGAGGUGGGGAGGCCAGAGGCAGGGCAGUCACAGGCUGGGUGGAGCUGCCAGGGCAGGGAUGUGGGGUAUGCUGGCCACACUAGCACAUGCUGCACCAGGAGCAGAGCCCUGCACCCUGCCUAGUGGCUUUCCCAAGAGAAACCCCUCUGGGAGACCCUGGCUCCAAGCCCCGGCCUCUAUAGUAAUAUGCCCCUCGGGGAUCUCCUGGUCUGGGGCCUGAUUCUCAGGAAUGCCAGUGGGUUUUUUGUUUUUGUUUUUGAGGCAGGGUCUUGCUCUGUCAUCCAGGCUGGAGGGUAGUGGCGUGACCAGGGCUCACUGCAGCCUUGACCUCCCAGGCUCAAGCGAUCCUCCCAGCUCAGCCUGCUGACCAGCUGGGAUGAUAGGCAGGCACCACCACACCUGGCUAAUUUUUUAAACUUUUUGUAGAGAUGGGGUCUCCCUAUGUUGCCCAGGCUGGCCUCAAAUUCCUGGGCUCAAGCCAUCCUCCCACCCUGGCCUCCUAUAGUACUGGGGUUACAGAUGUGAGCCACUUCGCCCAGCUGAGGCAUGCCUGGUUUCAAAACUAUCUUCAGCUCUUAAUGUUGGUGGGUGUAAAACUCAUCCCAGCGUGGACUAAAUCACAGGCCCUGCAGAGUUGGAGGGCUGAGAAGGGGCAGCUCUGAAUACAGGGGAUCUGCCCGAACCUCACUUUUCCUGGGGCCCCUCUCCCCAACCCUGGGGCCACCACCGUGUUGCUUCCAGAGGGUCUCGCUCUCCUUCCCUUUUUCCGCCCGUCCCAGGCUGGAUAGAGUCCCUUCCUUUGGUCCUGUCUUGCAUCUGUCUUGAAUUAGGCAGGGAGUUUUCAGGAAGAACUUUCCCAAAUACUAAGGGAGAACAGAGAGGAAAUCCUAUGAAAUACAGAGUAUUCAUGCUGGCAGUCUCAUGAAGGGUAGGUAUCAACUUUUGCGACAACCAUAGGUACCCCCCUAAAUGGCUAUUACAAGUGGGCACCUUGAGCAUAACACGGGAACCCCACGCCUGGCCUCCAUACCUCCCAGGUCCUGCACUUCUCCCCAGAGGUGGGCCCUCUUCCCCCUAAAGCACAGCGCCUUGUGAUGCGAAGGCCGAGGCUGGGAGAGGUCACACCUGGUCUCUCCACAUGUUCCAGCUCCCAGCCUGCUGAGCACAGCCCUUGCUGACCUGGGCUGGCCCUGAGGAGGGGUGUGCUUGCUCCCGUACACAGGAGUGACCUGAAGGCCCCUCACUGUGGUCACAAACACAGCCCUAAACUGUCCAGAAACUGUAUCCUCAGAGCGGGAAGUGCCCACGUGGACAGAGAGAAAGCCAGCCUCUCGGGGCAGAUUGCCGCCUCUACUGUGAGGAUUCUCCAGGGGCUACCGAGAGGCUGGGCUGGUUUAUCUCCUCUGCCUAGAAAGGCCUGGGGUGGCCAAUGUGAACUCAUUAAAAGGAAAACCAGCUUUCCC